AACGUAGGGGACAAGCGUUAUCCGGAUUUACUGGGCGUAAAGCGCCCGUAGGCGGCUUUUUAAGUUGGACGUGAAAGCUCCCGGCUUAACUGGGAGAGGCCGUUCAAAACUGAGAGGCUAGAGUGGGGCAGAGGAGCGCGGAAUUCCUGGUGUAGCGGUGGAAUGCGCAGAUAUCAGGAGGAACACCGAUGGCGAAGGCAGUUCUCUGGGCCGUAACUGACGCUGAGGAGCGAAAGCGUGGGGGGCGAACAGG
This 253-nucleotide ribosomal RNA is filed under the name uncultured bacterium. RNAcentral describes it as "partial 16S ribosomal RNA". It matches the Rfam family "Bacterial small subunit ribosomal RNA", at positions 524 to 776 of the family's 1533-position model. The record is from RNAcentral.